GUUCACUAUGGUUCCAUGGUCCUGGCUCAGUUGGGAUGAGAAUGAGCUGAAAGUCUACUGAACCUUAAUGACUUCCUCAAACUUCUUCUCACUUAUCCUCCAUUGCUGGAACAACCAGGGUGAAGCCCUGGGUGGAGCCACCUUGCCUUCAAGGCCAAGAACCUUGCAGGCCAAGAACAAGCAGGACUUGUGCUGAUUGGGACUCACAUAUGGAGCAUUCUUCCUCCCCACUCACCUCUUAAAAUUAAUUACUUUUCUAAAAAGGUGUUGUGGCAGUUUACCUCCCCACCAGCAACAAGUGAGACAGAAGUUUUCCCACUCUCUUGUCAAUAUUCAGUGUAAUCGAAAUUUUCAAGUUUUUGUUAAUCUGCUAGAUGAAAAAUGGACUCAUAUCUUAUUUUAAAUUGAUAUUCAUCUCAUUGUACAAUAAAGUUGUGCAUUGUACUAUAUACAAUUAAAUUUUACUUCAUAUUUCAUUUUCUAUCAA
Molecule: long non-coding RNA, 487 nt
Organism: Suricata suricatta (meerkat)
Lineage: Eukaryota; Metazoa; Chordata; Mammalia; Carnivora; Herpestidae
Exons: 3
Source: RefSeq, a predicted model, not a curated record